Molecule: ribosomal RNA, 253 nt
Filed under: uncultured bacterium
Lineage: Bacteria
Description: partial 16S ribosomal RNA
Rfam family: Bacterial small subunit ribosomal RNA
Source: RNAcentral
UACGUAGGGUGCGAGCGUUAAUCGGAAUUACUGGGCGUAAAGCGUGCGCAGGCGGUUCUCCAAGUCCGUUGUGAAAGCCCCGGGCUCAACCUGGGAAUGGCAGUGGAAACUAGGGGACUGGAAUCUGGCAGAGGGGGGUGGAAUGCCGCGUGUAGCAGUGAAAUGCGUAGAGAUCCGGAGGAACACCAGCGGCGAAGGCGGCAUCCUGGACUGGUCCUGACACUCAUGAGCGAAAGCGUGGGGAGCGAUCCGG